This 480-nucleotide ribosomal RNA is filed under the name Glyphocrangon armata. RNAcentral's name for it is "partial 16S ribosomal RNA". It matches the Rfam family "Bacterial large subunit ribosomal RNA", at positions 1895 to 2586 of the family's 2925-position model. Lineage: Eukaryota; Metazoa; Arthropoda; Malacostraca; Decapoda; Glyphocrangonidae. The record is from RNAcentral.
GUAGUCUAACCUGCCCACUGAAGUUUAAAGGGCUGCGGUAAUAUGACCGUGCGAAGGUAGCAUAAUCAAUAGUCUUUUAAUUGAAGGCUGGAAUGAAUGGUUGGACAAGAAGUGAACUGUCUUUUUUGAAGUAAUUGAAUUUUACUUUUAAGUGAAAAGGCUUAAAUGAAUUAAGGGGACGAUAAGACCCUAUAAAACUUUACAUAUAUAAGUAUAUUUAUUUGAAAAUAAAGGUAUAAAGAAAGUAUAAUAAAAUUUGUUUUAUUGGGGCGAUAGUUAUAAAAAUAAUAAUUGUAAUUUUAAUAAAAUAUAUAUAAAUAGUAUAGUUGAUCCUUUAUUAAGGAUUACAAGAUUAAGUUACUUUAGGGAUAACAGCGUAAUUCUUUCUGAGAGUUCUUAUCGAUGAAGGUAGUUGCGACCUCGAUGUUGAAUUAAGGUUUUACUAAGGUGUAGAAGUUUUAGUGAUAGGUCUGUUCGACC